AUAAUUCAAUAUGUUUUGUCUGACAUUUUAUAUUUCGGUUCUGGUAACUUAUUGUUGAUAGGGACAGAAACCCACAGGUUUGAUAUGACUAUACGAUGUAUCAUCGUCUAUCUCCUUUUGAUGCAUCUCUCUUUCUCUCCUUCAAAUUCUUUUCUCUGUUUCUCCCCCUUUCUAUACAAACUAGAAAAAAUGAGAUAUGGAGGAGAGGAAAGACACAUCACGUUCAAUCGAACCCCUGUCCCUCACAAAAGUAUACUCAUCAAGAUGGACUGCAUUUCAUUUUUUUGUAAAUACAUGUUUUUGUGUUUAUAAAAUAUAUAAUGUAAACAAAACAUUUACCAUAAAUUAACUAUUUCUAAUACCUCUCACCUUUAUUCACAC
This 381-nucleotide long non-coding RNA is filed under the name Androctonus crassicauda. The record is from RNAcentral. Lineage: Eukaryota; Metazoa; Arthropoda; Arachnida; Scorpiones; Buthidae.